Anneissia japonica is the source of this 1466-nucleotide long non-coding RNA. RefSeq lists it as uncharacterized. The record is from RefSeq and is a predicted model, not a curated record. The transcript is spliced from 3 exons. Lineage: Eukaryota; Metazoa; Echinodermata; Crinoidea; Comatulida; Comatulidae.
UAGUUUGAUUGGUCUAGCGUACUCAUGAAAACGUUAGUUGUCUGAGUGGGCGGAGCUAAAAUGACGUAAGGAUUUUAGUAAAAUAGAAAUGCAGGUGAAUCUGACCGAUCACAGAACAGCACUAAAUUGUGGGUUUAUUAUAUUACAUCUUGAAUCUUACAUGUGACUUUUUGUGAGUAGGAGUUUUGGAAAAAUGGAAACGACAAGGAAUCCGACCGGUGAACUUACCGAAAUUGAAUCUGUAAUUGCUAAUCCCAUCCAGAUGGCUCUGCAGACUCAAGUAAGAAAAAGGUAUAUGUAUUUAUAUAUUAUAGUAUUUCAUAAUUUCAAGAAUGGAUACAUUUUUUUAUUUUCUUUUUUUUAAGUCCUUAUUCAGAGUAGUCGGGAAUGGUAGUAACAAAUCCUUUCAGCUACAAGGAAAGAACCAGGGAAAGGUGGCAAAUAUAGCAAUCUGUGGCCUCUAAUCUAAAUGCCAUGUGGGAAACUGAUAAAACAGAUAGCAGAGGGUGCAGGGAGCGAUACAACCUCCUUAAGACAAAGCAUGUAAAAAAUGAACAAUGAAGAAGAAGCUUCAGGGAUUUCCCCUAAAGAGACAGAAGACGACAAGGCGAUGGAGGAGCUGGUAAAUCCUGAAAAGGAGUCCGAAACAUCAAGUCUUCCAUCUGAUAAUAAAGAAAGAGAAGGAGGAUGCGCAGGAAAUGAGAAAUAGAUGUUUUAAUGCCAUGACACCAAUUAAAAAGACAAAGAGUGAAGAUGUGUCGAAUGAGACUAUGCUCAUGAUCAAAGAAAAAAUGGAGAGAGAAAGUGGAGAAAUGAAGAGAAAGAAUUGAAAGAGAAGCAGAUGGAGCAAGAAGCAGAAUUUAGAAAACAAGAGGCUGCUAAAAGAACUAAAUAAAUAGACUUGAUGCAACAGCAAAUGCUACAGCAAACUCAGUAGAUGAACAAUAUUAUGAUAAUGAUGUUGGAAGUAUUAAAAAAUAAGUAAUCAAAUAAUUAUAAAUAUGUAAUUAAAAUUUUAUUUUAAUAAUUUAGCAGGCCCAUGUUUUUUUUUUAUUCUGCUCUCUUGUUCCAUCUGCUUUUUUUUGGUUUAAUGUUAAGCUUGCAAAAUCUAGUUUACCUAACUCAAGUAACUUCUAAGUUGAUCUUAUUUUAUAUGCCAAAAUUGUUGUGGAUUCCAUUAAUUAAUGAUCUGCAAGUCAAAUUUUAUCUAAUUCUUAGGCAAGUUCACUAUAUCAUAUACUGUCCUAUUAUUGUGCAAUGAUUAUUUUUAAAUUGUAUAUUGUGUGUAUACACUUAAAUAAAACAAUUUCCACAGAUAUACAGUAUAGUUUUAUGAAUAUUCAUGUUUAAUACUACUGCAAACCAAUAAACAUCGUAUCCAGGGAACAAACAUUUUGUUAUAAUUUGUUACGAAGACGCGUAGAGGAGGGAAGUAACAAACAACUACAAACAGCAAACUGUAUCAU